This is a non-coding RNA of Otolemur garnettii (small-eared galago), 204 nucleotides long. Lineage: Eukaryota; Metazoa; Chordata; Mammalia; Primates; Galagidae. The record is from Rfam.
GGCAGCCAGACAGUUUUGCUUGGACCUCUGGGGUGACCACGUGGCCAUACGUUCAAUGCUCUGAAAGGCCUGUGCCCAGAGUCAGCCGGAAAGUGACUUACAGCUGAAAACAGGAUUUGAGUGACUUCUGCUCCAGGGAGGCCCCUCAGUAUAAACAGUGAGAUUUCUGGGAAAUGUGCAACAAGGCCAGACUGUUGAGAAAGG